This is a long non-coding RNA of Solanum verrucosum, 539 nucleotides long. RefSeq lists it as uncharacterized. NCBI's taxonomy places the organism in Eukaryota, Viridiplantae, Streptophyta, Magnoliopsida, Solanales, Solanaceae. The transcript is spliced from 2 exons. The record is from RefSeq and is a predicted model, not a curated record.
CUCCCCUGAGCCUCAACACAAGAUGAAGGGUCGAUUCCUUCUGAAUAUUGUAAUCGGCUAAUGUCCUUCCAUCUUCCAACUGCUUGCCAGCAAAAAUCAACCUUUGCUGAUCUGGUGGGAUACCCUCUUUGUCCUGAAUCUUUGCCUUAACGUUGUCAAUGGUGUCGGAGCUUUCCACCUCAAGGGUAAUAGUCUUGCCAGUCAAGGUCUUCACAAAGAUUUGCAUCCCACCGCGAAGACGAAGGACCAAGUGAAGGGUUGACUCCUUCUGGAUGUUGUAAUCAGCAAGGGUCCGGCCGUCCUCAAGCUGCUUUCCGGCAAAGAUCAAUCUUUGCUGGUCUGGGGGAAUGCCUUCCUUGUCCUGGAUCUUGGCUUUAACGUUGUCAAUAGUGUCGGAGCUUUCAACCUCAAGGGUGAUGGUCUUUCCGGUCAAAGUCUUCACGAAAAUUUGCAUUCCACCACGAAGACGGAGCACCAAGUGAAGGGUUGAUUCCUUCUGGAUGUUGUAAUCAGCAAGGGUCCGGCCGUCCUCAAGCUGC